Molecule: ribosomal RNA, 496 nt
Filed under: uncultured bacterium
Lineage: Bacteria
Description: partial 16S ribosomal RNA
Rfam family: Bacterial small subunit ribosomal RNA
Source: RNAcentral
AUGAACGCUGGCGGCGUGCCUCAUCCAUGCAAGUCGCGCGAACAGACGAGGAGCUUGCUCCUCUGACGUUAGCGGCGGACGGGUGAGUAACACGUGGAUAACCUACCUAUAAGACUGGGAUAACUUCGGGAAACCGGAGCUAAUACCGGAUAAUAUAUUGAACCGCAUGGUUCAAUAGUGAAAGACGGUUUUGCUGUCACUUAUAGAUGGAUCCGCACCGCAUUAGCUAGUUGGUAAGGUAACGGCUUACCAAGGCAACGAUGCGUAGCCGACCUGAGAGGGUGAUCGGCCACACUGGAACUGAGACACGGUCCAGACUCCUACGGGAGGCAGCAGUAGGGAAUCUUCCGCAAUGGGCGAAAGCCUGACGGAGCAACGCCGCGUGAGUGAUGAAGGUCUUCGGAUCGUAAAACUCUGUUAUUAGGGAAGAACAAAUGUGUAAGUAACUAUGCACGUCUUGACGGUACCUAAUCAGAAAGCCACGGCUAACUACGUG